AGGGGAAUAUUGGACAAUGGGGGGAACCCUGAUCCAGCCAUGCCGCGUGUGUGAAGAAGGCCUUUUGGUUGUAAAGCACUUUAAGCGAGGAGGAGGCUACUCUAGUUAAUACCUAGGGAUAGUGGACGUUACUCGCAGAAUGAGCACCGGCUAACUCUGUGCCAGCAGCCGCGGUAAUACAGAGGGUGCGAGCGUUAAUCGGAUUUACUGGGCGUAAAGCGUGCGUAGGCGGCUUUUUAGGUCGGAUGUGAAAUCCCUGAGCUUAACUUAGGAAUUGCAUUCGAUACUGGGAAGCUAGAGUAUGGGAGAGGAUGGUAGAAUUCCAGGUGUAGCGGUGAAAUGCGUAGAGAUCUGGAGGAAUACCGAUGGCGAAGGCAGCCAUCUGGCCUAAUACUGACGCUGAGGUACGAAAGCAUGGGGAGCAAACAG
Molecule: ribosomal RNA, 429 nt
Filed under: uncultured bacterium
Lineage: Bacteria
Description: bacterial SSU rRNA
Rfam family: Bacterial small subunit ribosomal RNA
Source: RNAcentral